Molecule: ribosomal RNA, 232 nt
Filed under: uncultured bacterium
Lineage: Bacteria
Description: partial 16S ribosomal RNA
Rfam family: Bacterial small subunit ribosomal RNA
Source: RNAcentral
CGGCGAACGGUGAGUAACGCGUGGAUUAUCUGCCCUGAGGUGGGGGAUAACCCGGGGAAACUCGGGCUAAUACCGCAUAUGACCGCGAGGUCAAAGGGGGUCGCAAGAUCUCUCGCCAUAGGAGGAGUCCGCGUCCGAUUAGCUAGUUGGUAGGGUAAUGGCCUACCAAGGCGACGAUCGGUAGCCGGCCUGAGAGGGUGAUCGGCCACACUGGAACUGAGACACGGUCCAG